Molecule: ribosomal RNA, 691 nt
Filed under: uncultured Bacteroidales bacterium
Lineage: Bacteria; Pseudomonadati; Bacteroidota; Bacteroidia; Bacteroidales
Description: bacterial SSU rRNA
Rfam family: Bacterial small subunit ribosomal RNA
Source: RNAcentral
AAGUCGAGGGGCAUCAGUUUGGUUUGCUUGCAAACCAAAGCUGGCGACCGGCGCACGGGUGAGUAACACGUAUCCAACCUGCCUCAUACUCGGGGAUAGCCUUUCGAAAGAAAGAUUAAUAUCCGAUAGCAUAUGUUUCCCGCAUGGGUUUUAUAUUAAAGAAAUUCGGUAUGAGAUGGGGAUGCGUUCCAUUAGUUUGUUGGCGGGGUAACGGCCCACCAAGACUACGAUGGAUAGGGGUUCUGAGAGGAAGGUCCCCCACAUUGGAACUGAGACACGGUCCAAACUCCUACGGGAGGCAGCAGUGAGGAAUAUUGGUCAAUGGACGCGAGUCUGAACCAGCCAAGUAGCGUGAAGGAUGACUGCCCUAUGGGUUGUAAACUUCUUUUAUAUGGGAAUAAAGUGGUCCACGUGUGGAUUUUUGUAUGUACCAUAUGAAUAAGGAUCGGCUAACUCCGUGCCAGCAGCCGCGGUAAUACGGAGGAUCCGAGCGUUAUCCGGAUUUAUUGGGUUUAAAGGGAGCGUAGGCGGAUUGUUAAGUCAGUUGUGAAAGUUUGCGGCUCAACCGUAAAAUUGCAGUUGAUACUGGCAGUCUUGAGUGCAGUAGAGGUGGGCGGAAUUCGUGGUGUAGCGGUGAAAUGCUUAGAUAUCACGGAGAACUCCGAUUGCGAAGGCAGCUCACUGGAGUGUA